Molecule: unclassified non-coding RNA, 713 nt
Filed under: Hevea brasiliensis (rubber tree)
Lineage: Eukaryota; Viridiplantae; Streptophyta; Magnoliopsida; Malpighiales; Euphorbiaceae
Source: RNAcentral
CAUCCCGGCACUUUAUCAUGUAACUGGAGGUACAUGUAGCCAAAAGAAAUGGAACAGAACAAACAAUCAAAUUGAUAACAGUUUAGAAAACACAAAACAGAAACAUUUGUUCAGUCUUUAGCACUUAAAAAGUUUAUGAUUGCAGUUUCACUUUUAAACUUCUUAGUAACUGUCUUUUCCGGACCCCCUUUUCAUGCCUCUGUAAAUGUUGGUGAAAUUAUGUCUCAAAUUUGCUGAUGGGAACCGAUGUAAUUACUAAAAUUUGACAAGAAAGAGCAGGGAACAACACUGCAUUGUUUACAAGUAUAUUAAUUAAUCAAUAAAGAGAAAGAAAGCUUCAAAUAUUGGAUUGCAUGAUUAUAAUUUGAAUUACGAGUAAAAUUCCUGAACAACAAGAACAUUUUGUUGUGAGCAAUUUAUAUGAAUGGGAACCCAUGUAUGAUUUCCUCCAUCUUUGUAUUUAAGAGAAAACAUACCAAAGUUUACUAGGAUGAAGGAACAAUGAAGCAAAAAUAGCAUUUCUCUCUGUUCUAUAUGAAAGGACAAAAAAAAUGGCAAAAAUGAGCAAAAAAUGAGUCAACCAAGUUUGGUGUUCCUGUAUUAUAAUUCAUAAAAAAAGGCCUUCAAUGAAUUAAAUUUAUAUUUUUUUAGAGGUUGCCACCAUAUGCUUACCAAUUUUGACCAGACAUUCACUAUAACAAUUUGUUUCGUGA